CCCUUCCUCCCUUCCUUCCUCCCUUCCUCCCUUCCUUCCUCCCUUCCUCCCUUCCUUCCGCCCGCGCCGUCGCCGCGCUCACCGCCCCGGCGCCGGAACCGCCGCCUGUGUCAUCACCCUCAGCCCGCUGCGCCUCGGGAACUGUGAACCCCAGAUUGGAUUGUUUCAACACACAGACUAAAGGGACUCGCUCACGGGACCUCCCUGGGGCCCAGCAUGGAAGAUCCGUCUGAAACGGGAGCGAGUUUCCUGUGAGCAUCUCAGGUGGUGUGGCCUUGCGAGUAAAGAAAAUAAAAACAGUCCAGACAGAUGGAGAAUUCAAGAGGUGCAGCGCUAGCCCAGGAGAAGUGCAUAGAGUUGCAGCAGAAGGUAAAUUUACAUUACUGCUCACACUCAAACCCCUCCAGUCUGAAAGCUCCUUUGGGAUCAGCUUCUGCCUGUUUGGUGCAGUAAGGCAGGUGAUUUGCUCUUGGCUGUCCUUAUCCGUGAUCAAUGUCAUUGGAAACACACAGACAUAUCCCACUCAGGUGCCUUGAGAAUCGUUUGUGCUCCCUCUCAGAUACUGGUGGUGCGUGUUCUAUCAGCUGCUCUUAGAACAUCAUGCCAGCUUUGACCACUUCCUCACAGGGAGAACUGUGAAAGGAAAAACAGUAUAAAACGGAAAAACACCAUGGCAAAUAGAGGCAAACGGCAUCUGGACAAGAUUCUGGAUUCUUGCUCAUUCUCUUCAAGUGUGGUCACAGGCUAAGGCAGAAUGUGGAAAUAUUUCACCUUGCCUUUGGAUUUCACUUACGGGGACAAGAUGCUUCACAUUUCAUUUGUGGAACCUCAGAAUUUGUGAUUGCAGCAUAAUGUGCAGAAGUGGACUGUCCUUUUAUGUCAGCAAGUAAACGACAGUGCCAAAUUUUAAAAUGUCUUGUCCUGCCUGCUCCAGUAACGAGGACGUAAAAAUGGUUCUACAAACUUUUCUGCUCCUGCUGAGGUACCACCUGAGGCCCUGACUCUCAGCUAAAGAAAUUGCAAAGACAGCAGGGGAUAUUUGAGGUGGAAAAUGCUAUUCUUGCUCCAGGACUUCAUUUAAAACUACUAUAUUUUCAUUUUUCAAAGUUGUGAGGGCUUUAUCUUAAGAAAUUGUUUGCUCAGGAAUAGAGGAAAGGCUGAGAAAAGAAUCACUCCCUUUAUGUCCUUAAUGCUUGAACAUUUACAAGUUGUCUUAAAGAGAUGAACUAGGAUCUUCCCAAGAAAGAAACCAACAAAAACACCCCAAGGCCAUAACAGAAAAACCAGCACAAGAGAACAAUUAUAGUAGUAACACAGUCUGUUUCUAUGGAGAUGGACAUGAAGGAGAAAAUAUUUACCAGCUUGGCAGUUUUUAUGCCAGAAUGGGAAACCCCUACGUUUACAAUGAAAUAAAAUGGAAAAUAAGGCAAGUAAGAGUGUCAGCACUGCCAGGUGAUGCAGUAACAUUGUGGGGGGACCUGCAGAAUGGCAGAAAUUUUCCACAAGUCCUACAGUGCCUCUAGACAUACAGGAUUUUUUUAAACUGCUGAAGUGUUUCAAGUUGAGAGCAAAACAUGUGACUCCCAGAAUCACUGAUUUUACAUAUGCUUUGUUUCUGAUUUUAGCACAUACACCUGCUUACACUUAGCAAAGAAGUUAGUAGACAUUUUUUUUUUUUUAAUUGAAGGUUACGGAUCAAUGGCCCAAAGAAAUGCAAAACAAAAAGAUGCUCCAAACAUUUCCUGCUAUUCCUCAAAAGUUUGCAUUAUUUCUUUUAUUGCUAAAGCACAUCAAACUUAGGAAAGGAAUAAUAACAAUUUCUUGCCAAACAGAAGCUUUCAACUUAGGCUCUUGACUGUACCACAUUAAAUGGCUCUUCUCUCCUGCCAAAGGCCAUCAGGUAUCAUAGCAGAGCAGCACAGCAAUUGGAAACUGAGUGCCAAAGAGUUUCUAGGGCACAAGUGAAUGCACUGGAUUCCAAAGGUCUCUGGGAGUUAUGUAAGAGGAAGAACAUAGAUCUCCACCAAUAGUCCUACCAUGGACCAAACAUCAAUCACAGCACCGCAACAAUUUCAGUUCCAGAGACAAUUAUUAAAGACAUUAUAAGAAAUACUGAAGAAAAAUCUCUUCCUGAGAAGGACUUCCUGAAUAGAGCAAUGGUGCACCUCGGGUAUUUCUUUCCGGCAUCUAUUUACUAUUUAGAUACAAAAUUUAGACAUGCCCAUACCAAGAUAUAGCACUGAUUUUUGUUGAGGGACCUUAGAAAUGGAUAAUAGAUGAAGCCCAUACUCAGCUGUCUUAUGGAUUACCUACUUGAACUGGCAGAGCAAAAAGUCACAGGGACAUGGAAAGUAGAGACAAGUUAUGAGAAGCCUCAGAACUGUUACCCUCACAAAGCACUGAAGGCUGUGUAUUUGUAUAUAUUCAGGAAAUCGAAUGCUUAAUAGGCCAAGCAAAGCUGUUCUUGUUCCUGCUGCCAAAGAAUGAUGCUGACAAAUGGUCAUUAAUAAGGGAAACAGCUACAUCACUACACUGUGGACUUGGGAGACAAAGGGGUAGGGAUGCCAGAAUGGCCUAGGGAUCAAGUGUACAGGAUCAGCAAGAACAGUCAUUCUUGUGGAUUCAAAAAUCCUUCUCUGAAGGAUCAAGAGCUCACUAACACUGCAGGUUAACAUCUGGCUGAUGCCAGAGGAUGAACAGGUGAGUACCAGAACUCACUGAGGACAUGCUCACGAGACACACCUGACACGGAAUGCCAUUGGCUGCACCUGGGCAAGUCUCUGCCUGAAACCCCUUCUGUCUUUGUGUUUGGUUUGUAUCGAUGAGUCCAUCUCUGCUCAAACAAAAGCCGUGUAUCUGACAUGUUUGACCCCUUCUGCACAGGAGCCAGACAUCAGCGAUAAGAAUGGCAAACAUCCUGCACCAGAGCAGGAAAAUAAAGUGAUGGCUGAUACCUCUCCAUGUGUCCAGAGCUACAGACAUUUAUUUAGAAAUAUACUGAUCA
Molecule: long non-coding RNA, 3004 nt
Organism: Passer montanus (Eurasian tree sparrow)
Lineage: Eukaryota; Metazoa; Chordata; Aves; Passeriformes; Passeridae
Exons: 5
Source: RefSeq, a predicted model, not a curated record